RNAcentral lists this ribosomal RNA (500 nucleotides) under uncultured bacterium. Its description in RNAcentral is "partial 16S ribosomal RNA". It matches the Rfam family "Bacterial small subunit ribosomal RNA", at positions 29 to 523 of the family's 1533-position model. The record is from RNAcentral.
AACGAACGCUGGCGGAAUGCUUUACACAUGCAAGUCGAACGGCAGCACGGACUUCGGUCUGGUGGCGAGUGGCGAACGGGUGAGUAAUGUAUCGGAACGUGCCCAGUCGUGGGGGAUAACGUAGUGAAAAUUACGCUAAUACCGCAUACGAUCUAUGGAUGAAAGCGGGGGAUCGCAAGACCUCGCGCGAUUGGAGCGGCCGAUAUCAGAUUAGGUAGUUGGUGGGGUAAAGGCCCACCAAGCCGACGAUCUGUAGCUGGUCUGAGAGGACGACCAGCCACACUGGAACUGAGACACGGUCCAGACUCCUACGUGAGGCAGCAGUGGGGAAUUUUGGACAAUGGGCGAAAGCCUGAUCCAGCCAUUCCGCGUGCAGGAUGAAGGCCCUCGGGUUGUAAACUGCUUUUGUACAGAACGAAAAGGUUUCUACUAAUACUAGGAGCUCAUGACGGUACUGUAAGAAUAAGCACCGGCUAACUACGUGCCAGCCGCCGCAGUAA